This 253-nucleotide ribosomal RNA is filed under the name uncultured bacterium. Its description in RNAcentral is "partial 16S ribosomal RNA". It matches the Rfam family "Bacterial small subunit ribosomal RNA", at positions 524 to 776 of the family's 1533-position model. The record is from RNAcentral.
UACAGAGGGUGCGAGCGUUAAUCGGAAUUACUGGGCGUAAAGCGUGCGUAGACGGUUAUUUAAGUCGGGUAUGAAAGCCCCGGGCUCAACCUGGGAAUUGCAUUCGAGACUGAAUAGCUAGGGUACGGUAGAGGGAAGUGGAAUUUCCGGUGUAGCGGUGAAAUGCGUAGAUAUCGGAAGGAACAUCAGUGGCGAAAGCGACUUCCUGGACCAGUACCGACGUUCAGGCACGAAAGCGUGGGGAGCAAACAGG